AGUUCUGUGAGGAUGUGCAGUAUCAAGAUGGGAUUGCAAACUACGCGGUUAAAUGUCCUCCCAACACUGUUGGAGGUGUGGUCAGGAUAACGAAUCACAAUCAAGUCCUGGCCCUCUGUGAGGUGAGGGUUUUGGGAAAUGAUUCGGUCAACAAGUGCAAUUCAGAUGAAUAAAAAGUAUAAGCGAGGACGAUCGGAGUCUGGAGCAUUGGAGGACAAGGAAACAAUUAGAUUAGAAGAUAAAUAUACAGACUUUCAACUGCAUGCCAUUUUGGAUAUCUUUGAAAAUUAUUUCAUUACUUUACUUGAGAA
Molecule: long non-coding RNA, 311 nt
Organism: Bolinopsis microptera
Lineage: Eukaryota; Metazoa; Ctenophora; Tentaculata; Lobata; Bolinopsidae
Exons: 2
Source: RefSeq, a predicted model, not a curated record